CUUUGUUCUUAAGUGUAUUAAAUAGGAAUUUGUUUGUCUCCAAGAAGUCAUGAUAAAGUGAAAGGUCUUGUUUCUGAGGAUAGAUUUCCUCUGAAUUUUUCAGAGGCAUAUGACAUCUAACCCCAGGGGGAGUAUAUGUUGUAUGCAACAUAAAUUAAUGUUUAGAUGCGGGCAGGGCCAGAUUAAGAGCCCAGUGGGCCUGGUGCUGAAAAUUAUGAUUGGCCUAAUUACAGAAUCUUAUCG
Molecule: non-coding RNA, 243 nt
Organism: Pelobates cultripes (western spadefoot toad)
Lineage: Eukaryota; Metazoa; Chordata; Amphibia; Anura; Pelobatidae
Source: the annotation of a GenBank genome assembly